UACGUAGGGUGCGAGCGUUGUCCGGAAUUAUUGGGCGUAAAGAGCUCGUAGGCGGUGUGUCACGUCGGCCGUGAAAACCUGCAGCUUAACUGUGGGCGUGCGGUCGAUACGGGCAUCACUGGAGUUCGGCAGGGGAGACUGGAAUUCCUGGUGUAGCGGUGAGAUGCGCAGAUAUCAGGAGGAACACCGGUGGCGAAGGCGGGUCUCUGGGCCGAUACUGACGCUGAGGAGCGAAAGCGUGGGGAGCAAACAGG
RNAcentral lists this ribosomal RNA (254 nucleotides) under uncultured bacterium. Its description in RNAcentral is "partial 16S ribosomal RNA". It matches the Rfam family "Bacterial small subunit ribosomal RNA", at positions 524 to 776 of the family's 1533-position model. The record is from RNAcentral.